UAAGCGUGCGCAGGCGGUUAUAUAAGACAGAUGUGAAAUCCCCGGGCUCAACCUGGGAACUGCAUUUGUGACUGUAUAGCUGGAGUGCGGCAGAGGGGGAUGGAAUUCCGCGUGUAGCAGUGAAAUGCGUAGAUAUGCGGAGGAACACCGAUGGCGAAGGCAAUCCCCUGGGCCUGCACUGACGCUCAUGCACGAAAGCGUGGGGAGCAAACAGGAUUAGAUACCCCGGU
RNAcentral lists this ribosomal RNA (230 nucleotides) under uncultured bacterium. RNAcentral describes it as "partial 16S ribosomal RNA". It matches the Rfam family "Bacterial small subunit ribosomal RNA", at positions 563 to 791 of the family's 1533-position model. The record is from RNAcentral.